AGACGUCUACAUUAGAUACCCGGGUAGUCCCAGCCGUAAACUAUGCGCGUUAGGUGUAUCGGUGACCACGAGUUACCGAGGUGCCGAAGGGAACCGUGAAACGUGCCGCCUGGGAAGUACGGUCGCAAGGCUGAAACUUAAAGGAAUUGGCGGGGAGCACCACAACGGGUGGAGCCUGCGGUUUAAUUGGACUCAACGCCGGGAAGCUCACCGGAUAAGACAGCGGAAUGAUUGCCGGGCUGAAGACUCUGCAUGACUAGCUG
This 263-nucleotide ribosomal RNA is filed under the name uncultured archaeon. RNAcentral's name for it is "partial 16S ribosomal RNA". It matches the Rfam family "Archaeal small subunit ribosomal RNA", at positions 717 to 982 of the family's 1478-position model. The record is from RNAcentral.